UGAGUCGUCACCAUGACUUUUAUUCUGAAUAUCACUAUUUUUGAACACAUUCUUCUGUUUCUUUCUUUGCAUGAUUGUUACAUCUACAUGACAGCGUUUGAGUAUCACGAAGGCAAAAUUAUCACAGCAAUAAAGAUCACUGUAUUUCUGAACAGUGUCACAAUGACGGAUAUGGGAAGAUCACAUGACAGCAAUAAAGGCGUGCACAUCAGUAAUCUGGACAUUCUCCAGCUCUUGCUUGGACUCAGUCGCUGGCUGCUGCUCUAGUCUCCGCUGGCAUGACUCAAGCUCUCUUCAUGCACUGUCUGCUACAUACUUUCUGCUAGUGCUGCAGCUGUGUCUAGACAACUGUUAGGACAUUUCAUUUUACCCCCAACACAUUCUGCUCAUGCAACCUGUAUGCAUUUCUUUCUUCUGUUGAGCACAAAAGAAGUUGCUUUGAAGGAUGUUGGUAAGCUGACGUUAGCCAUUGACUUUCAUAGUAUGAAAAAAAUAAAUAUUAUGGAAGUCAAUAGCUACUGUCAACUUUUUAAUUUUUGGAUGAACUAUCCAUUUAACCAUGUUUUGGGGGAAAGACAUGAUCCAAAUCUGACAGGGUUAUUCAAAAACUGUUUUUUGGAGGUCAGGUGCUGGUCUAGAUGAUAGACUAAAAAGCUUAUUUUAUAGAGUGUUUAAUCUGGUCAUUGGUUAAUGUUUAAAACAUUUGCAUGAAGAAACAAUGCCUGUCAAAGCAUCAAGGCUCGUCAAGCUUAAGAACAAUAAGAAAAACAUAGGAAAUGAAUGUAGACACUGCAAACAAGGCACACAGAAGAAAAAAAAAUCUAAAUCUGCUCUUCAAGAGGUCUGUUUAUGUAAUACUUAUAUCUAGUUUCAUUUCUAACGUGCCGUUAAACACUAUUUAAUCUAUUCAGCUUGUGUGUGUGUGUGUGUGUGUGUGUGUGUGUGUGUUUGUGUUCUCUACUCUGUACUAAAGACAUUUUUACCUGUAUGAAGGUGAAGGACUCAGGAGAGCUGGCUCUGUUUAAUCUCUCUUGAGAGUUGGAUCAAUGAUGUAAUAACAUGGCUCUCUACUCUGAGAGCUGGCAGGAACAUCUGCUGCUUUUGUGGAAGACGCUGUAAGAAGCGUGUAGGGCUGGACUGAGUGCCAACCUUGGAUGUGUUACACAGAUGGUUUCUCUGAAGCCCAUUACCUGAGCUCCAGAUUGGUUUGGGCUUAAUCAAAACACAAGGAAGGAAAUACAUAGCGAUGUCUAUCAAACUUGACCAAUGACCAAAAUUACAACAGAAGGGUUAAUUAACUAUGCUAUCCCUGGAUGAGGCCGUGACGUUUCUGCUGAGCUUGUGGACCGUGGCAGAGCAGAAGAAUCUGUGGGAUACAGUGAUGUGUUUUGGCUAAUUGGCCAUAGAAAAGAGGACGUCAGAACAGCGUGGAGACAGUGAAUAAUAGAUUAAUGGGCACGGCCCUAAUUGAUAAAGCAUGGCCUUCUGAAGCUAGAGGUUGUGUGGGUAUGGAGGAUGAAUCAGUGAAGAGCGUGCUUCAUGAACAGGAAAUACCAGGUUUACAUCCCACCAUGAGCUCUUCUGAUGGAGGGAUGCAUUUGUGCCUUUGAGCAAAGCAUUUUAAUGUCAUCUGCUUGAGGUCUUGAUACCACAGCUUUCUAGUUACCGUGUAAUCCAGCUACAGUCUGCCAAUGGAGGAUAUUUUACACUGCUUGCAAAAGACUGCUUCCUCUUACCUUCUUAUGCAUUGAAGCAGCAGUCUUUGACAUGGUUAUACUUAAUCUGAGAUUCAUUGUAAUGUGAAUCAAUUGAUGGAUGGUAAGUGUGUCACAGUAAGUGAUCCAAUACAGCUUAUUUUGCCCUAUGAUUAAAGUCAUUUGUUUUUGAUGAUAAUAUCAUGGUCGCAAAAUCACACAGUCUUCAUCUAGUUUCAGUAGCUAAAAACAAGAUGCUUUGCAACCAUAUUAUAUGCUGAUGACACAAUUUUAAAUGAGCAAACAAAGAGGAACCUAUGCCAAGGGAAUAUGUCUGAUGAGAAACAGCUACCAAUAAUGACAGACAAAUUGAACAGUCCAAACAAUAUGGUAAUGUGCAUACUAUAUAGGGAAUUUAAAACACAAAACAAAUACAUUAACAUGUUACAUAAUGAAUAGCACAACAUUCAUCAGCUCAUUCCACAGAUCUGUUGCAUUCAGCAGAGGAACGUCUAACUAUGCAAUGAUAUAAACACAAAUGAACAAAAUAUCAUUUUCUUACUAACAUGGAAUGCAAAAAGUGAUGUACUGCACUAUAGAGCAGUAGAUUUUCAGCAAAUGAAGUCUGUGUUGUGUUUGUCACACACUGCUAUUCUAUGAUUUGUAACAUAACGCAUGAGUGGUAUGAAAUAUGACUUUGUCCUUGACUGUUCAUAUAAACUGAUACUGCAUAUUUACUGUAGUAUAAAACAACUGGGAUGCAUCAUUGUUUGUUGCUUCAGUUGUAUAUGUGCACACCAUUCCAGACCAAAGUUAUGUGAGUGGUAUGGAGUGGAAUUGUUUUAUGAAAAUAUAAUAAUAAAGUUUUG
This is a long non-coding RNA of Cyprinus carpio carpio, 2563 nucleotides long. Lineage: Eukaryota; Metazoa; Chordata; Actinopteri; Cypriniformes; Cyprinidae. The record is from Ensembl.